UGCAUGCAAACAGGCAAAGUACUGAACGCUGAUCAGAGCUGAAGGGGAGAGGCUGUGAAGGGAUGAGUGAAAGACAGAUAAAUGAUUGUUCAAGUACUUAUUGAGGCAAACAUUUGGUACAUAAUUUGUUUUUGAUACAACUGUAAUGAAUAUCAUUCUUCUCUAUGGAACAACACGCCAGAUCUUUAGCACAUCACUGCUUGGUGCCCAGUGGGCAGCCAGUGCCCAGUUGCCAAUGCCACUUUUGAGCGCAUGUUCAUCUGCAGGAUAUUAAACAGAUUGCCAUCCUUUUGAUGUUUGUGAAUGCGAGUGCUGUUGAGAGCCAUGCUAUCCAAUUGGCUGGAAGACCUCUUCUUGGACCACAAAUCAUCUAACGUACUAUUCCUCUUUGUUCUAAUGAAGAAUGGAAAAAUUAAAGAUACACUCUAACCUCAGUGCAUUUAUGUGGAGAUUGUAGAGCAUUCACAGGUCAUGAGAACACGAGCAAAUAUGUUCAAAGUUUCUCAAAAUCUCAAUUGCCAAAGGAAUCGAGGGAGGCAUAGCAGAAGCCCUGGGGAAACACUAAUUAGCUACCCGCAAGGAAGAUGUCCCAGCCACGUAAACAAUCUCCUGAAGUCUCUGGACUGUAAUGAGGACCAAGCCCCAGUGAUAAGUCCUGCUCUGUGCUGUGCCGCUGCAUGAAGUUUCAGUAAUUUUCAAGGAGAACGUGAUUGGAGUCAGGCCCGGGGCUGCACGGAAUCCACUAAUCACCAUUCAGAGACUUCGGAUCCCUGGAAUCCACAGGGGAGAAUUGGCUCUUCAGAGUUAAAGGAGACACUGUCGAAUGUUGCUCAGAAGUGGAGCAAUCUGUUUAAAUAUUUAUCUAUUUAGUAUAUAUUGGAGUCCCUCUGGUCUUUGCAUAGUUGAUUCCUUGUUCUCUUUCUUUUGAUUAACUCAAAAAACCAAACGAAUAAAAGACCUGUAUAUUCACCCAAGCUUGCUAGUGAAAUUCUUUAUGUCUGGUUAUAGCUUUUUCUCUCCUUUUUCCUCCACUAGUAGAGUAGCAAUCAGGUUGACAAUAGAAAGAGAAAGGACUGCACGAGGUCUGUGUGUGUAGGUACAUUUAUUGUGACUUCAUAGCAUGAAUGUUACUGAAUCUUAA
Molecule: long non-coding RNA, 1141 nt
Organism: Heterocephalus glaber (naked mole-rat)
Lineage: Eukaryota; Metazoa; Chordata; Mammalia; Rodentia; Bathyergidae
Source: RefSeq, a predicted model, not a curated record